Molecule: ribosomal RNA, 481 nt
Filed under: uncultured bacterium
Lineage: Bacteria
Description: bacterial SSU rRNA
Rfam family: Bacterial small subunit ribosomal RNA
Source: RNAcentral
AUUGAACGCUGGCGGAAUGCUUUACACAUGCAAGUCGAGCGGCAGCGCGGGGCAACCUGGCGGCGAGCGGCGAACGGGUGAGUAAUACAUCGGAACGUACCCAGUUGUGGGGGAUAGCCCGGCGAAAGCCGGAUUAAUACCGCAUACGACCUGAGGGUGAAAGGGGGGGAUCGCAAGACCUCUCGCAGUUGGAGCGGCCGAUGGCGGAUUAGCUAGUUGGUAGGGUAAAGGCCUACCAAGGCGACGAUCCGUAGCUGGUCUGAGAGGACGACCAGCCACACUGGAACUGAGACACGGUCCAGACUCCUACGGGAGGCAGCAGUGGGGAAUUUUGGACAAUGGGGGCAACCCUGAUCCAGCCAUUCCGCGUGAGUGAAGAAGGCCUGAGGGUUGUAAAGCACUUUCAGUGGGAGGAGGAUUACUAGGUUAAGAGCCAGGUAAUUGGACGUUACCCACAGAAGAAGCACCGGCUAACUCCGUG